GGGUUAGUAGGUUGGUCAUGCCUCAGGUAUGUACUGGUCUCACUGAUUCCUCCUUCCUGAUGAGCCGUAAUGCCAUUAAUUUGGUGUUGCGGGGAAUCUGGACUGUUACUUUGAAAAAAUUAGAGUGUUUAAAGCAGGCAAGCGCUUGAAUACAUUAGCAUGGAAUAAUAGAAUAGGACU
This 180-nucleotide ribosomal RNA is filed under the name uncultured Glomeromycotina. RNAcentral describes it as "partial small subunit ribosomal RNA". The stretch from base 44 to 180 matches the Rfam family "Eukaryotic small subunit ribosomal RNA", at positions 690 to 829 of the family's 1831-position model. Lineage: Eukaryota; Fungi; Glomeromycota. The record is from RNAcentral.